Molecule: ribosomal RNA, 660 nt
Filed under: Pseudomonas sp.
Lineage: Bacteria; Pseudomonadati; Pseudomonadota; Gammaproteobacteria; Pseudomonadales; Pseudomonadaceae
Description: bacterial SSU rRNA
Rfam family: Bacterial small subunit ribosomal RNA
Source: RNAcentral
UGCAGUCGAGCGGCAGCACGGGUACUUGUACCUGGUGGCGAGCGGCGGACGGGUGAGUAAUGCCUAGGAAUCUGCCUAGUAGUGGGGGAUAACGUCCGGAAACGGGCGCUAAUACCGCAUACGUCCUACGGGAGAAAGUGGGGGAUCUUCGGACCUCACGCUAUUAGAUGAGCCUAGGUCGGAUUAGCUAGUUGGUGAGGUAAUGGCUCACCAAGGCGACGAUCCGUAACUGGUCUGAGAGGAUGAUCAGUCACACUGGAACUGAGACACGGUCCAGACUCCUACGGGAGGCAGCAGUGGGGAAUAUUGGACAAUGGGCGAAAGCCUGAUCCAGCCAUGCCGCGUGUGUGAAGAAGGUCUUCGGAUUGUAAAGCACUUUAAGUUGGGAGGAAGGGCAGUUACCUAAUACGUGAUUGUUUUGACGUUACCGACAGAAUAAGCACCGGCUAACUCUGUGCCAGCAGCCGCGGUAAUACAGAGGGUGCAAGCGUUAAUCGGAAUUACUGGGCGUAAAGCGCGCGUAGGUGGUUUGUUAAGUUGGAUGUGAAAGCCCCGGGCUCAACCUGGGAACUGCAUCCAAAACUGGCAAGCUAGAGUAUGGUAGAAGGGUUGGUGGGAAUUUCCUGUGUAGCGGUGAAAUGCGUAGAUAUAGGAAGGAAC